Molecule: long non-coding RNA, 363 nt
Organism: Rhipicephalus microplus (southern cattle tick)
Lineage: Eukaryota; Metazoa; Arthropoda; Arachnida; Ixodida; Ixodidae
Source: RefSeq, a predicted model, not a curated record
UGCAUCUUAUCUUUGUCGGAGUCUUGGCACCGCUCUGCUCAGCAUCUUCCAGUGCGGUAACCAAGCGAAGCAUGCGGGUUCCCGAGAGAUCACUUGGAAUUCCAGUACGCCAGGGGGAGAUUCCUCUGGAGGCGAUGAAGUUCAUUGCCCCCUACAUGAACACCUGGCCAACUCCAGCCGACUGCUGCGCUAACGGCGGCACCUGCACUCAUGCAGAAAACGGCACCACGAGGUGUCUGUGUCCUGCUGCCUUCUCGGGUCCGGGGUGCCUCGACGACGUUGACGAAUGCCUGCUUCGAAAGCCGUGUGGUCGCUUUAGCGUGUGCAUCAAUCUGUACGGAUCCUUCCGCUGCGACUGCAUGC